This 857-nucleotide ribosomal RNA is filed under the name Bipolaris sorghicola. RNAcentral's name for it is "eukaryotic LSU rRNA". It matches the Rfam family "Eukaryotic large subunit ribosomal RNA", at positions 63 to 938 of the family's 3401-position model. Lineage: Eukaryota; Fungi; Ascomycota; Dothideomycetes; Pleosporales; Pleosporaceae. The record is from RNAcentral.
AACCAACAGGGAUUGCCCUAGUAACGGCGAGUGAAGCGGCAACAGCUCAAAUUUGAAAUCUGGCUCUUUCAGAGUCCGAGUUGUAAUUUGCAGAGGGCGCUUUGGCUUUGGCAGCGGUCCAAGUUCCUUGGAACAGGACGUCACAGAGGGUGAGAAUCCCGUACGUGGUCGCUAGCUAUUGCCGUGUAAAGCCCCUUCGACGAGUCGAGUUGUUUGGGAAUGCAGCUCUAAAUGGGAGGUAAAUUUCUUCUAAAGCUAAAUACUGGCCAGAGACCGAUAGCGCACAAGUAGAGUGAUCGAAAGAUGAAAAGCACUUUGGAAAGAGAGUCAAACAGCACGUGAAAUUGUUGAAAGGGAAGCGCUUGCAGCCAGACUUGCUUGCAGUUGCUCAUCCGGGCUUUUGCCCGGUGCACUCUUCUGUAGGCAGGCCAGCAUCAGUUUGGGCGGUGGGAUAAAGGUCUCUGUCACGUACCUCUCUUCGGGGAGGCCUUAUAGGGGAGACGACAUACCACCAGCCUAGACUGAGGUCCGCGCAUCUGCUAGGAUGCUGGCGUAAUGGCUGUAAGCGGCCCGUCUUGAAACACGGACCAAGGAGUCUAACAUCUAUGCGAGUGUUUGGGUGUCAAGCCCGAGCGCGUAAUGAAAGUGAACGGAGGUGGGAACCCGCAAGGGUGCACCAUCGACCGAUCCUGAAGUUUACGGAAGGAUUUGAGUAAGAGCAUGGCUGUUGGGACCCGAAAGAUGGUGAACUAUGCUUGAAUAGGGUGAAGCCAGAGGAAACUCUGGUGGAGGCUCGCAGCGGUUCUGACGUGCAAAUCGAUCGUCAAAUUUGGGCAUAGGGGCGAAAGACUAAUCGA